This 2096-nucleotide long non-coding RNA is filed under the name Mus pahari (shrew mouse). Its description in RNAcentral is "predicted gene 16499 (MGP_PahariEiJ_G0002930.1)". The record is from RNAcentral. Lineage: Eukaryota; Metazoa; Chordata; Mammalia; Rodentia; Muridae.
GCAGCGGCAGAGGGGCCCUGAUGCUGCAGGCCUGGUCCCCGCCGGCUCAACCUUAAUGCGCUGCGGUUGCCCACCAGGUCUUUGGCAGCCCCACCCCAGGCCAUUCCUGGUAGAAGUCUUCCCCGCUGCUGGGGCUGCGGCUGCGGCUGCAGUGGUAGCUCCUGCGAGAAGCCUGCAGGGGGCGUCAUCCCCUCUUCCGACGAUGUGGGUAGCGGCCACUGCCUACUGCCUGCUGUAGGGGAAGGUGAGGGAUCCACGCAAGACCCAUUCUGCAGCAGUUGGUCAUCCAGGUAAUCCAGUAUUGUCUCCUUCAGCCACCGAGAGAAAGGGAGGAGAAGAUCAUGCAACAUUACCAGCAAGACUGAACCCACAAGUGCUGAGAACUCCUCGCGUUCUGCUUUGAUGCUACAUUGACGUUCCAUAGCAUGGAAAAGGGGCUGGUUUCCCAAUGUGGAGCGGAAGUUUAUGCCUUCUAAGGAAUCGAAGCUGUAAACAUCCCUCCCACCUAGGCACCUGGAGUCCAUCUUUCAUCUGGCUCUGAUCAUCUUGGCCAAGAACACACCUCCUAACUCUCCUCAGCACAGACCCCACAGUUUUCUGGAGGGCUACCCCCAAAGCACACAGAUGAACACGGGGCUUCCACUGAAGCCUGCUUUGUGUUAAAGAUUCUUAGUUAUAGAUUCAAGUCUUGAGAAAAAGCAGCGCCUCUCUAACUGUGGCACGCCGCCCGCCCUCCCUUGCAAGGCAAAGCUGAGCCUCCGAUGAGAAGAAUGCAUGUGAGGUGGCAUGCUGCCGUUGGCCACUGGCUAACAGAGAUGCUGUCACAAAGUAAUGGAGUGGCACAGCGACCCACUGGCCUCUUCCCCCCCCCCCCCAAGAAUUGAGUGCUACAGUUUGCAAAAAGUGUUUCUGUUAAACUGAUUGUGUGGCAGAACCAUAGUAGACUUCCAUGAUGACUAUGGAUUGACAUUCUUCUGACUGUCCCUUUUCAUUUUUAUUCCAAAGCUAUAACAAGGUGAAAACAGGACUAGAUAUAUUUUAUUCGUGUGUUCUCAUUUAUAUAGGGACCACGUUUUUCAUAACAAAGUACUAUAAUCAUUGAUCACAAAUAGCCAAACACUGAGAAAUGAGCAAAGAAUUACAAAGGUUGGGAAGCUUUUAUGAAGUUAAUUUGAAGAAAUUAAUCUCUGGAGAUGUUGUGUCUCCUAUAAAGUACAGCUCCUGGCAACAUGCUGGGCCCUGGGACACCAGAAGAGGCUUCUAUGGGCCCCUCCCCAUGACAGCCACCCCCUGUAGAUGUCACAGGUUUAUAGACUAGAAGGGCACAGUCAACAUCAGCUUUCAAUAUGAAAGAGCUUAUUUAUGCUCUCAUUUCAAAAUGAAACAAAUAUACAGACAUUCUAGAACUUUACCCCUGGACACCCUGCAAGGGGUAGUCACCCCUUGUAAAAUACCUACAAAUGACUCCUUGCAGUUAACCCUAAUAACCUGCUUUUCUUUAGCCUCUGAGCUAAACUUUCCCCUUUAUUUUCAGUUUUAGUUUUUAGUUAGCUUAAGAAGAAGCAGGAUUCUUUAUGGAAUUUUCAUAUUUAAUUUUGGCUGAACACACACACACACACACACACACACACACACACACACCUUAAAUUUAACUAUCUACAGAUUCACCUCCACAGGCCUGUCCCAUUGAAAGGGCUGAUGAGUGUGAUUUCCGGGGGCCCUGGCAAGCUAACCUUCCGUAACCAAAUACUGCCUCAUGUCUCCUGUUAUGAGAACAAAGAGAUGGAGGGAAUCCCGAUGAUCUCCAUGUAUUGAGCUGCAUUUUGGUACCAGCCACUAUGCACGCAUCAAGGCAGUUCUUGGUAGGAAAAGUGCUUGCUGCCAAGUACAUGGUGGCCUCGCUGAGACAAAGUCCCAGGAUUUCAGCCUUGCUCAAUACCCUUCCCAUUACAUGGUCAUGGAACCAAAUCCAGCUUCCAUAUCUUUCAGAAUAGGCUACAGGGAAAGCAAUUCACCUUCCCUGUGCUCUCUGUGAUAAUGAAGUCUGCUUGACUUUAUGACUUAUAUGGGCUUGAUGAACAACAUACCUGCUACUU